UUUUUGGUCCAACAGUUUCGG
This 21-nucleotide non-coding RNA is filed under the name Caenorhabditis elegans. The record is from RNAcentral. Lineage: Eukaryota; Metazoa; Nematoda; Chromadorea; Rhabditida; Rhabditidae.